RNAcentral lists this ribosomal RNA (379 nucleotides) under uncultured bacterium. RNAcentral's name for it is "bacterial SSU rRNA". It matches the Rfam family "Bacterial small subunit ribosomal RNA", at positions 28 to 412 of the family's 1533-position model. The record is from RNAcentral.
GACGAACGCUGGCGGCGUGCUUAACACAUGCAAGUCGAGCGGUAAGGCCUUUCGGGGUACACGAGCGGCGAACGGGUGAGUAACACGUGGGUGACCUGCCCUCCACUUCGGGAUAAGCCUGGGAAACCGGGUCUAAUACCGGAUAGGACCACAUGAUGCAUGUCGUGUGGUGGAAAGUUGUGUCGGUGGGGGAUGGGCCCGCGGUCUAUCAGCUGGUUGGUGGGGUGAUGGCCUACCAAGGCGACGACGGAUAGCCGGCCUGAGAGGGUGAUCGGCCACACUGGGACUGAGACACGGCCCAGACUCCUACGGGAGGCAGCAGUGGGGAAUCUUGCGCAAUGGGCGGAAGCCUGACGCAGCAACGCCGCGUGGGGAUGAC